RNAcentral lists this ribosomal RNA (484 nucleotides) under uncultured bacterium. RNAcentral's name for it is "partial 16S ribosomal RNA". It matches the Rfam family "Bacterial small subunit ribosomal RNA", at positions 30 to 507 of the family's 1533-position model. The record is from RNAcentral.
AUUGAACGCUGGCGGCAGGCCUAACACAUGCAAGUCGAGCGGAUGAAGGGAGCUUGCUCCUGGAUUCAGCGGCGGACGGGUGAGUAAUGCCUAGGAAUCUGCCUGGUAGUGGGGGAUAACGUCCGGAAACGGGCGCUAAUACCGCAUACGUCCUGAGGGAGAAAGUGGGGGAUCUUCGGACCUCACGCUAUCAGAUGAGCCUAGGUCGGAUUAGCUAGUUGGUGGGGUAAAGGCCUACCAAGGCGACGAUCCGUCACUGGUCUGAGAGGAUGAUCAGUCACACUGGAACUGAAACACGGUCCAGACUCCGACGGGAGGAAGCAGUGGGGAAUAUUGGACAAUGGGCGAAAGCCUGAUCCAGCCAUGCCGCGUGUGUGAAGAAGGUCUUCGGAUUGUAAAGCACUUUAAGUUGGGAGGAAGGGCAGUAAGUUAAUACCUUGCUGUUUUGACGUUACCAACAGAAUAAGCACCGGCUAACUUCGUG